This is a long non-coding RNA of Thunnus maccoyii (southern bluefin tuna), 235 nucleotides long. RefSeq lists it as uncharacterized. NCBI's taxonomy places the organism in Eukaryota, Metazoa, Chordata, Actinopteri, Scombriformes, Scombridae. The record is from RefSeq and is a predicted model, not a curated record. The transcript has 3 exons.
CACCUCUCCCACCGUCUCCCCCAUCAACGCGAUCAACAUGUUGAGCAGCAGCACAAAGGUUUGUGAGGUCCUGCCCGCCAGCACAGGAUGUUGACUUUUCUUCACUGCAGAACACAGACAACUUUCACUGGAUGUACCUCUUGAAAGUACUCCAACAGGCCCUCGAGGGCCUCUGGAUCACCACGUGACACGCAUUCGAAGAGAAGAGAGCGGUUGAAUACUUUCAUCACCUUUG